CAUAAGAGUGAAAGGCGCUUUCGGGUGUCGCUGAUGGAUGGACCCGCGGUGCAUUAGCUAGUUGGUGAGGUAACGGCUCACCAAGGCCACGAUGCAUAGCCGACCUGAGAGGGUGAUCGGCCACACUGGGACUGAGACACGGCCCAGACUCCUACGGGAGGCAGCAGUAGGGAAUCUUCGGCAAUGGACGAAAGUCUGACCGAGCAACGCCGCGUGAGUGAAGAAGGUUUUCGGAUCGUAAAACUCUGUUGUUAGAGAAGAACAAGGACGUUAGUAACUGAACGUCCCCUGACGGUAUCUAACCAGAAAGCCACGGCUAACUACGUGCCAGCAGCCGCGGUAAUACGUAGGUGGCAAGCGUUGUCCGGAUUUAUUGGGCGUAAAGCGAGCGCAGGCGGUUUCUUAAGUCUGAUGUGAAAGCCCCCGGCUCAACCGGGGAGGGUCAUUGGAAACUGGGAGACUUGAGUGCAGAAGAGGAGAGUGGAAUUCCAUGUGUAGCGGUGAAAUGCGUAGAUAUAUGGAGGAACACCAGUGGCGAAGGCGGCUCUCUGGUCUGUAACUGACGCUGAGGCUCGAAAGCGUGGGGAGCAAACAGGAUUAGAUACCCCUGGUAGUCCACGCCGUAAACGAUGAGUGCUAAGUGUUGGAGGGUUUCCGCCCUUCAGUGCUGCAGCAAACGCAUUAAGCACUCCGCCUGGGGAGUACGACCGCAAGGUUGAAACUCAAAGGAAUUGACGGGGGCCCGCACAAGCGGUGGAGCAUGUGGUUUAAUUCGAAGCAACGCGAAGAACCUUACCAGGUCUUGACAUCCUUUGACCACUCUAGAGAUAGAGCUUUCCCUUUGGGGACAAAGUGACAGGUGGUGCAUGGUUGUCGUCAGCUCGUGUCGUGAGAUGUUGGGUUAAGUCCCGCAACGAGCGCAACCCUUAUUGUUAGUUGCCAUCAUUUAGUUGGGCACUCUAGCGAGACUGCCGGUGACAAACCGGAGGAAGGUGGGGAUGACGUCAAAUCAUCAUGCCCCUUAUGACCUGGGCUACACACGUGCUACAAUGGGAAGUACAACGAGUCGCUAGACCGCGAGGUCAUGCAAAUCUCUUAAAGCUUCUCUCAGUUCGGAUUGCAGGCUGCAACUCGCCUGCAUGAAGCCGGAAUCGCUAGUAAUCGCGGAUCAGC
Molecule: ribosomal RNA, 1173 nt
Filed under: Enterococcus faecalis
Lineage: Bacteria; Bacillati; Bacillota; Bacilli; Lactobacillales; Enterococcaceae
Description: bacterial SSU rRNA
Rfam family: Bacterial small subunit ribosomal RNA
Source: RNAcentral